RNAcentral lists this ribosomal RNA (478 nucleotides) under uncultured bacterium. Its description in RNAcentral is "partial 16S ribosomal RNA". It matches the Rfam family "Bacterial small subunit ribosomal RNA", at positions 355 to 822 of the family's 1533-position model. The record is from RNAcentral.
UGGGGAAUUUUGGACAAUGGGCGCAAGCCUGAUCCAGCCAUGCCGCGUGCGGGAAGAAGGCCUUCGGGUUGUAAACCGCUUUGUCAGGGAAGAAAUCUUCUGAGUUAAUACCUCGGGAGGAUGACGGUACCUGAAGAAUAAGCACCGGCUAACUACGUGCCAGCAGCCGCGGUAAUACGUAGGGUGCAAGCGUUAAUCGGAAUUACUGGGCGUAAAGCGUGCGCAGGCGGUUUUGUAAGACAGAGGUGAAAUCCCCGGGCUCAACCUGGGAACUGCCUUUGUGACUGCAAGGCUUGAGUGCGGCAGAGGGGGAUGGAAUUCCGCGUGUAGCAGUGAAAUGCGUAGAUAUGCGGAGGAACACCGAUGGCGAAGGCAACCCCCCUGGGGCCUGCACUGACGCUCAUGCACGAAAGCGUGGGGAGCAAAACAGGAUUAGAUGCCCUGGUAGUCCACGCCCUAAAACGAUGUCAACUGGUUG